This is a long non-coding RNA of Alexandromys fortis (reed vole), 1714 nucleotides long. RefSeq lists it as uncharacterized. The record is from RefSeq and is a predicted model, not a curated record. The transcript has 3 exons. Lineage: Eukaryota; Metazoa; Chordata; Mammalia; Rodentia; Cricetidae.
UAAUUGUGAGAAACAGAAAGCAAAACUUUUAUUUCCAAAUUACCCCGGGGCAAAAAGCACGAACACGGAGUCCUGCUGACCUCGUUAGGUCACAGACUGCAUUUUAACAAGGAUAUUUACAAGGGCUGCUACCUGGAGAAAGUUCGCGUGUGUGCCAUUCUUGCCUUUAAAGCCGACAGUGUUUGUUUUUAAUUGAUUACACAUUUAACUUUUGAGCAGUUUCGGGGGUGACUUGAAAUAUAAUAAGACUUUUUUUUCUAAUUAUUAUUCAGGGUCGAAAUAAAAGAGGAAAUGUCUUUAUAAUGAUUCACCCUGAUUGCUUGUAUUUUGUUGGCUUUUUUGCUUCUAAAAAGCAUUUUUCUCUCCCAGUGUGGUUUUACUCCAAGUACAGCUAUAACUUAAAUCAGUGAUAAUGAAUUUCACACUACAGAGCUUGAAUCUAGGCUACGGUUACCGCACAAGCGGUGGCUAAGUUCAAAAACUUGCCAAGAGGAGGUAUUUAUCCUAUUCAAAACAGGUAGCUUUAUUCGUCUCGUAUGACUUAAGUCAUGACUAGGAAUUAACUUCAAAAGUAGCAUAAAAGCCCUUAAAAAUUAAGUUAAUAAAACAGAAAAAGGGUGUGAGCAGGGGUUAAAAUGGGCUUUCCUGUUGCCUUCAUUUAUACAUGUAUUCCCUUAUACUUUCAGAGGCCUGGCUGAGGUCAUUCCGUUAGUUCAUCAGCCAAGAGUAAUUUAGGGGUCUGUUUUCUGCCAUAGACUGUUAGGAGCGGACCCAGGCCUUACCAAUUUAUGGAAAUCGAGAAUUAAGAGCAAAGAGCCAAAAAACGUUCCAUUCCCCACAAGUGGCCUGUCCGCAGGGCCUCAAGCCGCCAUGCUUUUGAAGCGAACACCCUCACACAGUGGGCAAACGUCCACGCGUUCAAUGCUAGUUUUGAGGAUGGAAAUCUCCAAAGGACACGUUGUGCUCGCUCACGCGUUUUCCCUGGAUUUUCUUUCUCACGUCUGACGGUCCGUGUGAUUUCACCAAAGCCAGGUUACAGGUUUAGGUGACACCCACCCGCCCAUGCAGUCCACACCCGCUGCCUUAGGCACGUCUCACUCAACCAGACUUCAAAGUGUAGAAAGAAUUAGAAGGAAGGGACGGAGAUUUGUCUAAAUAUAGUCCCGGUCUGUUUACUUUGCAUUCAAGAAGGGGUUUCUCGAGGCAGUCAUCACAAACCCCUGCCGAGGAGCAUCUCUUAAACUGCUCCCUGGCUUCUUGACAGCUACGCCAUCUACCCGUGGGACCUGGGCCUCUGCUUUCGACCAUCCGCAGAGAUUGCCUGCAGCUUUUGAACGGUAUACAACAAUAUGGGCUCAGGCUGGCGCUUCAGUUAAGAGCUUACGCUGCUCUUGCAAGGGACUUGGGUUUGUCCACCACACUCAUAUGGUAGCUCCACCACCGCCUGCAGCUCCAGCUCCAAGGGAUGGAUAGUACCCUGACCUCCACAGCACCGACACUCACCAUCUCGCCAGAUCCAAGAAACAUGGGACGGUGCCACAUAGCCUGGGACAGCAGUAAAAGGACCAGCUACCACACCCCAGCUUUCUCAGGUUCCCUAAAGAUGAUCGCCGCUGCCCCCCAAGUCAGCUGGAAGCAGUCUUGAGAAGUCAGUGCCCCGUUUCCCUGCCCUACCUGGCACCCCCUUUAAUUCCUCACCUUUAAAAAAUUAAAA